GAGACAACCUUAUAGGGCAGGACUCGCUUCAGUGGGGUUUUGAUGCUCACUGAGUCUGCCCCUUCAAUGUGUCUCU
RNAcentral lists this microRNA precursor (76 nucleotides) under Myotis lucifugus (little brown bat). RNAcentral's name for it is "mir-9229 microRNA precursor family". It matches the Rfam family "mir-9229 microRNA precursor family". Lineage: Eukaryota; Metazoa; Chordata; Mammalia; Chiroptera; Vespertilionidae. The record is from Rfam by way of RNAcentral.